This 404-nucleotide ribosomal RNA is filed under the name uncultured bacterium. RNAcentral describes it as "bacterial SSU rRNA". It matches the Rfam family "Bacterial small subunit ribosomal RNA", at positions 355 to 776 of the family's 1533-position model. The record is from RNAcentral.
UAGGGAAUAUUGCUCAAUGGGGGAAACCCUGAAGCAGCAACGCCGCGUGGAGGAUGAAGGUUUUAGGAUUGUAAACUCCUUUUGUAAGAGAAGAUUAUGACGGUAUCUUACGAAUAAGCACCGGCUAACUCCGUGCCAGCAGCCGCGGUAAUACGGAGGGUGCAAGCGUUACUCGGAAUCACUGGGCGUAAAGAGCGCGUAGGCGGGAGAGUAAGUCAGAUGUGAAAUCCUGUAGCUUAACUACAGAACUGCAUUUGAAACUACUUUUCUAGAGUAUGGGAGAGGUAGGUGGAAUUCUUGGUGUAGGGGUAAAAUCCGUAGAGAUCAAGAGGAAUACUCAUUGCGAAGGCGGCCCCCUGGACGAAGACUGACGCUCAGGUGCGAAAGCGUGGGGAGCAAACAGG